CUGCUGCCUUCCGUAGGAGUUUGGGCCGUGUCUCAGUCCCAAUGUGGCCGUCCACCCUCUCAGGCCGGCUACUGAUCGUCGCCUUGGUGGGCCGUUACCCCGCCAACAAGCUAAUCAGCGCGGGUCCAUCUUACACCACCGGAGUUUUUCACACAAAUCCAUGCGGCUUCGUGCGCUUAUGCGGUAUUAGCACCUAUUUCUAAGUGUUAUCCCCCAGUGUAAGGCAGGUUACCCACGCGUUACUCACCCGUCCGCCACUAAG
RNAcentral lists this ribosomal RNA (262 nucleotides) under uncultured bacterium. Its description in RNAcentral is "partial 16S ribosomal RNA". The record is from RNAcentral.